CGGGACACGUGGUAUCCUGUCUGAAUAUGGGGGGACCAUCCUCCAAGGCUAAAUACUCCUGACUGACCGAUAGUGAACCAGUACCGUGAGGGAAAGGCGAAAAGAACCCCGGCGAGGGGAGUGAAAAAGAACCUGAAACCGUGUACGUACAAGCAGUGGGAGCCUCUUUAUGGGGUGACUGCGUACCUUUUGUAUAAUGGGUCAGCGACUUAUAUUCUGUAGCAAGGUUAACCGAAUAGGGGAGCCGAAGGGAAACCGAGUCUUAACUGGGCGUUAAGUUGCAGGGUAUAGACCCGAAACCCGGUGAUCUAGCCAUGGGCAGGUUGAAGGUUGGGUAACACUAACUGGAGGACCGAACCGACUAAUGUUGAAAAAUUAGCGGAUGACUUGUGGCUGGGGGUGAAAGGCCAAUCAAACCGGGAGAUAGCUGGUUCUCCCCGAAAGCUAUUUAGGUAGCGCCUCGUGAAUUCAUCUCCGGGGGUAGAGCACUGUUUCGGCAAGGGGGUCAUCCCGACUUACCAACCCGAUGCAAACUGCGAAUACCGGAGAAUGUUAUCACGGGAGACACACGGCGGGUGCUAACGUCCGUCGUGAAGAGGGAAACAACCCAGACCGCCAGCUAAGGUCCCAAAGUCAUGGUUAAGUGGGAAACGAUGUGGGAAGGCCCAGACAGCCAGGAUGUUGGCUUAGAAGCAGCCAUCAUUUAAAGAAAGCGUAAUAGCUCACUGGUCGAGUCGGCCUGCGCGGAAGAUGUAACGGGGCUAAACCAUGCACCGAAGCUGCGGCAGCGACGCUUAUGCGUUGUUGGGUAGGGGAGCGUUCUGUAAGCCUGCGAAGGUGUGCUGUGAGGC
This 851-nucleotide ribosomal RNA is filed under the name Escherichia coli. RNAcentral describes it as "partial 23S ribosomal RNA". It matches the Rfam family "Bacterial large subunit ribosomal RNA", at positions 418 to 1269 of the family's 2925-position model. The record is from RNAcentral. Lineage: Bacteria; Pseudomonadati; Pseudomonadota; Gammaproteobacteria; Enterobacterales; Enterobacteriaceae.